RNAcentral lists this ribosomal RNA (429 nucleotides) under Actinomycetes bacterium. Its description in RNAcentral is "Actinobacteria bacterium partial 16S ribosomal RNA". It matches the Rfam family "Bacterial small subunit ribosomal RNA", at positions 355 to 776 of the family's 1533-position model. Lineage: Bacteria; Bacillati; Actinomycetota; Actinomycetes. The record is from RNAcentral.
UAGGGAAUCUUCCGCAAUGGGCGAAAGCCUGACGGAGCAACGCCGCGUGAGUGAUGAAGGUCUUCGGAUCGUAAAACUCUGUUAUUAGGGAAGAACAAAUGUGUAAGUAACUAUGCACGUCUUGACGGUACCUAAUCAGAAAGCCACGGCUAACUACGUGCCAGCAGCCGCGGUAAUACGUAGGUGGCAAGCGUUAUCCGGAAUUAUUGGGCGUAAAGCGCGCGUAGGCGGUUUUUUAAGUCUGAUGUGAAAGCCCACGGCUCAACCGUGGAGGGUCAUUGGAAACUGGAAAACUUGAGUGCAGAAGAGGAAAGUGGAAUUCCAUGUGGAGCGGUGAAAUGCGCAGAGAUAUGGAGGAACACCAGUGGGGAAGGCGACUUUCUGGUCUGUAACUGACGCUGAUGUGCGAAAGCGUGGGGAUCAAACAGG